AGUGAACGCUGGCGGUAGGCCUAACACAUGCAAGUCGAACGGCAGCACAGUAAGAGCUUGCUCUUACGGGUGGCGAGUGGCGGACGGGUGAGGAAUACAUCGGAAUCUACUUUUUCGUGGGGGAUAACGUAGGGAAACUUACGCUAAUACCGCAUACGACCUACGGGUGAAAGCAGGGGAUCUUCGGACCUUGCGCGAUUGAAUGAGCCGAUGUCGGAUUAGCUAGUUGGCGGGGUAAAGGCCCACCAAGGCGACGAUCCGUGGCUGGUCUGAGAGGAUGAUCAGCCACACUAGAACUGAGACACGGUCCAGACUCCUACGGGAGGCAGCAGUGGGGAAUAUUGGACAAUGGGCGCAAGCCUGAUCCAGCCAUACCGCGUGGGUGAAGAAGGCCUUCGGGUUGUAAAGCCCUUUUGUUGGGAAAGAAAAGCAGCAGGUUAAUACCCCGCUGUUCUGACGGUACCCAAAGAAUAAGCACCGGCUAACUUCGUG
This 492-nucleotide ribosomal RNA is filed under the name uncultured bacterium. Its description in RNAcentral is "partial 16S ribosomal RNA". It matches the Rfam family "Bacterial small subunit ribosomal RNA", at positions 29 to 507 of the family's 1533-position model. The record is from RNAcentral.